AUGCAGGUGGCGGCCAGGAUCAAGCGGCGGGCGACGGCGGUCUGGGAGCCUGUGACAGUGACUCUCUUUGCUGAGUCAAAGCAUCUGAAUCGGGUGGUGAGCUGUCUGCGUAUCGGAGUCGCGAGGGGGGUGUAUAACAAUAUUCAAAGAACACUUAGAAUCAAAUAUGACAAAAAAAGAAGAAACUAG
Non-coding RNA from Vicia faba (fava bean), 189 nucleotides. Lineage: Eukaryota; Viridiplantae; Streptophyta; Magnoliopsida; Fabales; Fabaceae. The record is from the annotation of a GenBank genome assembly.